This 132-nucleotide small RNA is filed under the name Salmonella enterica subsp. enterica serovar Togba. Its description in RNAcentral is "RtT sRNA". It matches the Rfam family "RtT RNA". Rfam says of the family: This family represents a bacterial cis-regulatory element known as RtT RNA. The exact function of RtT is unknown although it is thought that it may be involved in changing the cellular response in relation to amino acid starvation. The record is from RNAcentral. Lineage: Bacteria; Pseudomonadati; Pseudomonadota; Gammaproteobacteria; Enterobacterales; Enterobacteriaceae.
GUUUGCACUUGUCGGAGAAGGGUGAGAACCUUCGAUUAAGGUUCGACUCGAGCGAAAGCGAGAGAACGUUGCCAACGGCAACGGCCCGUAGGGUGAGGAGUGAAGCGACGAAUAAUCCUUCCCCCACCACCA